Molecule: long non-coding RNA, 624 nt
Organism: Dalotia coriaria
Lineage: Eukaryota; Metazoa; Arthropoda; Insecta; Coleoptera; Staphylinidae
Exons: 4
Source: RefSeq, a predicted model, not a curated record
AUGACCACCUUUCUUUCAUUCAUAUUGAUUAAAUAAACUCCCUUACAAUUUAUCGAUCAAAAAGUGGCAUAAAUAUCGGUAGUUAAUGAUAAUAGACGUGUACAGUGUUUUUAAAACGAUGAUUUACGCGUGAAAUGGUUAUAAAACUUUUGUUUUUAUCUGUGGACUAAUGACCAGACAAUUAUUGGAUUAUUUUAAUGCCAGGAAUUGGUAUUGGAAAUGUCUGAAAGAAUUAGCAAUUAACGCCUGUCCUCGAUGGGCUUUCACGGAAAUAUCGCCGGUCAAACAGCACUAGGAACAGUCUUAAUAAGUGUGCAACAUAGUCCGACUGCUAAAACAUGUGUUUUUCGUUUGAGUACCUCCUGAGAUUACCCGAUAUACUUUAUCUACUCACAUUUGAUUUGCGGUGUUCGAUUCACUGUACUUGCCGUAUCCUUGCAAACCGAUGAGCGCAGCACUGCUUACCUACUGUAUUACCACGCGCCGUCGCUUGCUGGUUUGGAUGUUAUCCGCCGGAUGUUCUAUCAAUUUAUGCUAAUGCCUCACCCGCCGGUUACCUUAUGCAGUUGAUGCUAUCAUCAAAUGAUAAAUGUAUACACAAUAUAUUAAAAUGUAAUUGUUUUA